UUGGCCUACGGGGCGCAGCAGUGAGGAAUAUUGGUCAAUGGGCGCGAGCCUGAACCAGCCAAGUCGCGUGAGGGAGGACGGCCCUACGGGUUGUAAACCUCUUUUGCCGGGGAGCAACGGGCGUCACGUGUGGCGCCACUGAGAGUACCCGGAGAAAAAGCAUCGGCUAACUCCGUGCCAGCAGCCGCGGUAAUACGUAGGGGGCAAGCGUUAUCCGGAUUUACUGGGUGUAAAGGGAGCGUAGACGGCUGUGCAAGCCAGAUGUGAAAGCCCGGGGCUCAACCCCGGGACUGCAUUUGGAACUG
RNAcentral lists this ribosomal RNA (305 nucleotides) under uncultured bacterium. RNAcentral's name for it is "bacterial SSU rRNA". It matches the Rfam family "Bacterial small subunit ribosomal RNA", at positions 334 to 635 of the family's 1533-position model. The record is from RNAcentral.